RNAcentral lists this unclassified non-coding RNA (178 nucleotides) under Aliivibrio fischeri ES114. RNAcentral describes it as "psrN". The stretch from base 1 to 127 matches the Rfam family "Manganese Mn2+ riboswitch aptamer (yybP-ykoY)". Rfam says of the family: This RNA was originally discovered in E. coli during a large scale screen and was named SraF. The family was later found to exist upstream of related families of protein genes in many bacteria, including the the yybP and ykoK genes in B. subtilis. The specific functions of these proteins are unknown, but this structured RNA element may be involved in their genetic regulation as a riboswitch. Lineage: Bacteria; Pseudomonadati; Pseudomonadota; Gammaproteobacteria; Vibrionales; Vibrionaceae. The record is from RNAcentral.
ACCUUACUCUUUGGGGAGUAGCCUGCUUUCUCGUUUUCAUAAAAAUACAUAAAACAGAAAGCUCAUAUAUCAACAUAAUUGAUGCAAAAUCAUCAUGGUAUAUGAGACAAGCCUGAGCAGCUUGUUUGGCAAGACCUUAGAUUAACAUCACGAACCAUUGGGUGGGCGUGAGGUUUUU